Non-coding RNA from Paramuricea clavata, 79 nucleotides. The record is from the annotation of a GenBank genome assembly. Lineage: Eukaryota; Metazoa; Cnidaria; Anthozoa; Malacalcyonacea; Plexauridae.
UGUCUCACCAGGAUAUCCAAACACUCGAAAACAAUGUAUGAUACAUUGUUUUCUCGUGUUUGGAUAUCCCGGUGAAACA